This 116-nucleotide ribosomal RNA is filed under the name Penicillium digitatum. The record is from RNAcentral. Lineage: Eukaryota; Fungi; Ascomycota; Eurotiomycetes; Eurotiales; Aspergillaceae.
ACGACCAUAGGGUGUGGAAAACAGGGCUUCCCGUCCGCUCAGCCGUACUUAAGCCACACGCCGGUGAGUUAGUAGUUGGGUGGGUGACCACCAGCGAAUCCUCACUGUUGUAUGUG